UACGGAAGGCAGCAGUGGGGAAUAUUGCACAAUGGGCGCAAGCCUGAUGCAGCCAUGCCGCGUGUAUGAAGAAGGCCUUCGGGUUGUAAAGUACUUUCAGCGGGGAGGAAGGCGAUGCGGUUAAUAACCGCGUCGAUUGACGUUACCCGCAGAAGAAGCACCGGCUAACUCCGUGCCAGCAGCCGCGGUAAUACGGAGGGUGCAAGCGUUAAUCGGAAUUACUGGGCGUAAAGCGCACGCAGGCGGUCUGUUAAGUCAGAUGUGAAAUCCCCGGGCUUAACCUGGGAACUGCAUUUUGAAACUGGCAGGCUUGAGUCUUGUAGAGGGGGUAGAAUUCCAGGUGUAGCGGUGAAAUGCGUAGAGAUCUGGAGGAAUACCGGUGGCGAAGGCGGCCCCUGGGACAAAGCUGACGCUCAGGGUGCGAAAGCGUGGGGAGCAAACAGGGAUUAGAUACC
This 455-nucleotide ribosomal RNA is filed under the name uncultured bacterium. RNAcentral's name for it is "bacterial SSU rRNA". It matches the Rfam family "Bacterial small subunit ribosomal RNA", at positions 340 to 786 of the family's 1533-position model. The record is from RNAcentral.